AACGCAUCUUGCGCUUUCGGGUUAUUCCUGGAAGCAUGCUUGUUUGAGUGUCGCGAAACUCUCAACCCCGCUCCAAUGUAAAUUGGAGUAGCUUGGGCUUGGAUCAUGACUCUUGUCGUUUGCUUGCAAUCGACUGGGUUGAAAUACAACGAGCUGAAUCAUUAGACUUGCGGCUUGACCUGUCGUUGUAGCAAUACAAACCUCGAUGGGGACGCAAGAAACUGAGUGAGCUUAUCAAAAUUGCAAUCCGCUAAUACGAGUCCGCUCUAAUUAGUGCAUUCUGACCUCAAAUCAAGUAGGACUACCCGCUGAACUUAA
RNAcentral lists this unclassified non-coding RNA (318 nucleotides) under uncultured fungus. RNAcentral describes it as "partial contains 5.8S ribosomal RNA, internal transcribed spacer 2, and large subunit ribosomal RNA". Lineage: Eukaryota; Fungi. The record is from RNAcentral.